ACAUCGGGACUGAGACACGGCCGAAUUCUACGGGAGGCAGCAGUGGGGGAAUAUGGACAAUGGGGGCAACCUGAUCCAGCCAUGCCGCGUGUGUGAAGAAGGCCCUCGGGUUGUAAAGCACUUUCAGCGAGGAAGAACGCCUAGUGGUUAAUACCCAUUAGGAAAGACAUCACUCGCAGAAGAAGCACCGGCUAACUCCGUGCCAGCAGCCGCGGUAAUACGGAGGGUGCAAGCGUUAAUCGGAAUUACUGGGCGUAAAGCGCGCGUAGGUGGCUUGAUAAGCCGGUUGUGAAAGCCCCGGGCUCAACCUGGGAACGGCAUCCGGAACUGUCAGGCUAGAGUGCAGGAGAGGAAGGUAGAAUUCCCGGUGUAGCGGUGAAAUGCGUAGAGAUCGGGAGGAAUACCAGUGGCGAAGGCGGCCUUCUGGACUGACACUGACACUGAGGUGCGAAAGCGUGGGUAGCAAACAGGAUUAGAUACCCUGGUAGUCCACGCCGUAAACGAUGUCGACCAGCCGUUGGGUGCCUAGCGCACUUUGUGGCGAAGUUAACGCGAUAAGUCGACCGCCUGGGGAGUACGGCCGCAAGGUUAAAACUCAAAUGAAUUGACGGGGGCCCGCACAAGCGGUGGAGCAUGUGGUUUAAUUCGAUGCAACGCGAAGAACCUUACCUACCCUUGACAUCGACAGAAGCCGAGAGAGAUCUUGGUGUGCCUUCGGGAACUGUCAGACAGGUGCUGCAUGGCUGUCGUCAGCUCGUGUUGUGAAAUGUUGGGUUAAGUCCCGUAACGAGCGCAACCCUUGUCCUUAUUUGCCAGCGCGUAAUGGCGGGAACUCUAAGGAGACUGCCGGUGACAAACCGGAGGAAGGUGGGGACGACGUCAAGUCAUCAUGGCCCUUACGGGUAGGGCUACACACGUGCUACAGUGGCCGGUACAAAGGGCAGCGAGCUCGCGAGAGUCAGCGAAUCCCUUAAAGCCGGUCUCAGUCCGGAUCGGAGUCUGCAACUCGACUCCGUGAAGUCGGAAUCGCUAGUAAUCGGAAUCAGAA
Molecule: ribosomal RNA, 1048 nt
Filed under: uncultured bacterium
Lineage: Bacteria
Description: bacterial SSU rRNA
Rfam family: Bacterial small subunit ribosomal RNA
Source: RNAcentral